This 73-nucleotide transfer RNA is filed under the name Rattus norvegicus (Norway rat). RNAcentral describes it as "tRNA-Pro-AGG-21-1". The record is from RNAcentral. Lineage: Eukaryota; Metazoa; Chordata; Mammalia; Rodentia; Muridae.
UUGGGGAUUUAGCUCAGUGGUAGAGUGCUUGCCUAGGAAGCGCAAGGCCCUGGGUUCGGUCCCCACCUCCAAA